GGGGGAUAAAAGGCCCCUCGCCUGAAACCCACAGGUCCAAGUCAUAUGGGACGGACGCCCACCUUCCUGGCUGAACUCUUCCCCGCCUCUAAGGAGGCUCGCUCUGAAGCCGAGGCCAGGUAUUUGCAAAUAACUAAAUGGCAAAUACUCCUGAAGCUGCAGACAUUUCAAACCUAUUGGAUCUUGUCCUACCCAGAAACCUGGAUGGAGGUUAAAGAAAUGUGAAAGUGAGAUGGGACAGCCUCCUGUGAAUGAGCGGCAGGAACUUCUUGGCCUCUUGCACAAGGAUCCAAAAUUGGGUUCCAGUCAGUCCGUAUAGGAAGAAGGGGAUCUCUCAAGAGGGCCUGUGGCUCGUCGCCACCAUCUGAGCUCUUGGCAGGUGUGGAGAGGAACACUCUCGCUGCCCCCUCAGCAUCACAGAACCCUGUUCCAUGAGCUCCCUGCUGCUUAGGGCAAGCCCAGUUCACCUCUGGAUCUGCAACCAACAUCAAGUAGGACGAGUCCCAUUUUACAGUCAAGGAAACCGAGGCUGUACAAGCGUCAUCAGAGGCCACGGUUCAUGUGCAAAGUGGGUUCCUCACCUUUCGUUUUCAACAGAAACACCCAGACCUCUCUACCCCAGUCCACCCACAGAAUUCUUUUAUGCCCUUUUUUUUUUUCUGUUGUAUCUUUUUAAACCUAAAAAUUGGCCGUUGAAAGAUCUGCUUUAAAUAUACCUGCGUAGACAAGUACAGAGUCUGGCCAGGUAUUAUUCGUUAGUUAUUAUUAAAUAAGCAUGUGAGUAGCAGCCAUCAAGAGAAUAACCAUGUGCCGGACACUCGCCUGAGCGUUUUGCAUGUAUUACGCACUGAUUCUUGGGGCGGCUUUAUAAAGUAAAGGAGUGUUAUCUCCAUUUUACACAGGGGGAAACUGAGGUCCAGAGAGGCAGAAUAAGAAUAAUUAUUUGAAAUCAUACUGCCAGGAAGUGUACUGAGAACUGGGAUUAAAUUCUAAGCUGUGGUCUUAACCACUUUGCUACCCUGUAAAAGGUUUAGCAUGGUUCCUAAGAGGUGGCACUGGUGGCGGGCGAUGGAUCCUAAGUCUCCCUAAGAGCCCUUCGCUGGCUGUACAGCCCCACUGACUUUGCUUUGCCUGGGGAGGUGAGUCAGCCCCUACCCUCUAAGCCAGGGAAACUCUGUCCUGAGGCUUUGCUCCUGACAACUUCUAUCUACUCCUCCUUUCUCUCCUUCAAAAUAGAGAAAUGCCCUGGGGUAGGCAUGGAAGUUAGGAUAGGAAGUGGGCUACCCUUGUCCUAGUCCUGCGCCUCUCUCUCCAUCCCCUAUGGAAGCAGUUCCUUCCUUGCUGCUGUCACUGAAGAGGAUGCCUUGGUGGAGGAGGGUGUGGAUAUUUACUGAACUUACGGAACUACCUGCCAGGUGCUAUGGUAAGGACUGGGGAUAAAGCAGACAACAAAAACAGACUCAGUCCUGGGGCUGCCCUCCUGGAGUUUACAACUGAGUAGGGAAACAGUACUUAAUUAAAUUGAUCUCAUGAACAAUUAUGAGAUUACAGAUGCAUUAAAUGCUAAGAAGACGAGGACAGGGUAAAUAAGAGGAAGUUUUAGGUCAUGGGUCUGAGACAUCUCUGAGAAAGAGCUCUGAGGGCAUGCAGGCUACAGGGUGGAGGGAAAUGUGUUCUAGGCGGUGGGAAUAGCACUUGCUAAGGUCCUGGAACACAGGGAGCUGAGGGGAGGCCCUUGUGGCUGGAGCAUGCAGGGGGAGAGAAAGAAUCUGGUGAAGAAGACAGGGGCCAGAUCAUGAAACCUUAAGAAAUGAAGUCAUUGGAGGCUUUUCAGCAAACAGGUUAGUAAUGUGAUCAGAUGUAAAUAAAACAUUUUGCAUAGCGUCUAGCACAAUGGUAGCUCAUAGAAAGCAAAAAAAGCCCUCCUUUCAUUUGGAAUAGUCUUUGUAUCUGUAGAUAUAGAUGUGGUCUCUGUAUCUGUAGAUAACAUUUUAUCCCAAUUUCUCCGGACAUCAAGUGAAUGAAUGCUCAAGUUAUUUAUUAUCAUUAUCAUUCAUAGUGAUAAUAACAUUACUCCUAAUUUGCUUUCCCUGAAUUGCCUAAGGAGACAACUUUUUAAAAAGAUUUAUUUAUUUAUUUGAGAGAGAGAGAGU
Molecule: long non-coding RNA, 2153 nt
Organism: Ailuropoda melanoleuca (giant panda)
Lineage: Eukaryota; Metazoa; Chordata; Mammalia; Carnivora; Ursidae
Exons: 4
Source: RefSeq, a predicted model, not a curated record